Molecule: non-coding RNA, 853 nt
Organism: Physcomitrium patens
Lineage: Eukaryota; Viridiplantae; Streptophyta; Bryopsida; Funariales; Funariaceae
Source: RefSeq, a predicted model, not a curated record
UGGCAAGCUGCGUGGGUGUCAGAGCACUUCAUUACGACACUUUUCUGACUCAUCGUAGGAAUGGCACAGUGAGCAAGAAGGUGCCGCAGCGCGGUGAUGACUAGAUUAAAUUGGAAUCACACCCAAAUGAUUUGUUCUGUAGAUUGGCGAAUCCAAGGCAUGAUGCAUUUGCUUCCGAGGGGCUUGCUUUUUCCUAACACGGCAUCCGAGGAGCAUUCCAAAGUACAUCUACACAACUCGUCCUUCGGGUCAUCUGCUAUGAGUUUGCUGUGCAUGUUGUGUCCGGUCCCGGCAACUUGAGCUAUUCGGCAAACUUUGGAAUGCAACAGGCGGACACAUUCAUUCAUGUGCACAAGGAAGACCCAAGGGUUAACCCGGAUCUCUCUCUUCUCGGAUUCCUGCUGCUAGUUUGCAAGAGUCUGUACAAACACAAUCUCUCAUGUGGUGUUGAAAGUGUCCUUUGGAUCGUUGCAAUCUUGUGGGUCAACGUGACAUGAAUAAGCACCGUGAAUAGCUCCGACUCGAAUUGAGGCUUGCAUCUAAUGCCGCCGGAUAGCUGGCCAUCACAUACACGACAAUCUUGUGGUAUCUUAGUUUCGUCUAAACUCUGUCCCCUGAAUUUUUUUUAAUUUGUUUUUAUUUUUGUUAUUUUUGAAGGUACACACAGUAGGGUAUUCACACUGAACAGAUUCAAUUAGAAAAAACAUUUACAUAGAAACUUAGAUCUAGUAGCUAAGAUGAGAGGAAAAUCUAAUAUAUUAAGAGUUUAUUUUACAAAAACAAAACACGAUUAGUUUUGUUCUUAUCGACAAUGAUUAGAUUGCAAAUAAAAAUUACGAUUGGUUUUAUUUCA